AUUGAACGCUGGCGGCAGGCCUAACACAUGCAAGUCGAGCGAGCGGCGGACGGGUGAGUAAUGUAUGGGGAACUGCCCGAUAGAGGGGGAUAACUACUGGAAACGGUGGCUAAUACCGCAUACUAUCGGAUGAACCCAGAUGGGAUUAGCUAGUAGGUGGGGUAAAGGCUCACCUAGGCGACGAUCCCUAGCUGGUCUGAGAGGAUGACCAGCCACACUGGAACUGAGACACGGUCCAGACUCCUACGGUAGGCAUCAGUGGGGAAUAUUGCACAAUGGGCGCAAGCCUGAUGCAGCCAUGCCGCGUGUAUGAAGAAGGCCUUAGGGUUGUAAAGUACUUUCAGCGAGGAGGCGUUACUCGCAGAAGAAGCACCGGCUAACUCCGUGCCAGCCGCCGCGGUAAUAC
This 406-nucleotide ribosomal RNA is filed under the name uncultured bacterium. Its description in RNAcentral is "partial 16S ribosomal RNA". It matches the Rfam family "Bacterial small subunit ribosomal RNA", at positions 30 to 526 of the family's 1533-position model. The record is from RNAcentral.